CGCGUAUACAAUCUACCUUAUACUAGGGAAUAGCCCAGAGAAAUUUGGAUUAAUGCUCUAUAGUCUAUUAAUAUGGCUUCAUAUAAAUAGUAAAGGUAACGGUAUAAGAUGAGUAUGCGUCCUAUUAGUUAGUUGGUAAGGUAACGGCUUACCAAGACUACGAUAGGUAGGGGCCCUGAGAGGGGGAUCCCCCACACUGGUACGGAGACACGGACCAGACUCCUACGGGAGGCAGCAGUGAGGAAUAUUGGACAAUGGGGGCAACCCUGAUCCAGCCAUGCCGCGUGCAGGAAGACUGCC
This 300-nucleotide ribosomal RNA is filed under the name uncultured Flavobacteriaceae bacterium. RNAcentral describes it as "bacterial SSU rRNA". It matches the Rfam family "Bacterial small subunit ribosomal RNA", at positions 114 to 416 of the family's 1533-position model. Lineage: Bacteria; Pseudomonadati; Bacteroidota; Flavobacteriia; Flavobacteriales; Flavobacteriaceae. The record is from RNAcentral.